UACGGAGGGGGCUAGCGUUGUCCGGAAUCAUUGGGCGUAAAGAGCUCGUAGGUGGCCUGUCGCGUCGGCUGUGAAAACUCGGGGCUCAACUCCGAGCUUGCAGUCGAUACGGGCAGGCUAGAGUUCGGCAGGGGAGACUGGAAUUCCUGGUGUAGCGGUGAAAUGCGCAGAUAUCAGGAGGAACACCGGUGGCGAAGGCGGGUCUCUGGGCCGAUACUGACGCUGAGGUGCGAAAGCGUGGGGAGCAAACAGG
This 253-nucleotide ribosomal RNA is filed under the name uncultured bacterium. Its description in RNAcentral is "partial 16S ribosomal RNA". It matches the Rfam family "Bacterial small subunit ribosomal RNA", at positions 524 to 776 of the family's 1533-position model. The record is from RNAcentral.